UACGUAGGGUGCGAGCGUUGUCCGGAAUUAUUGGGCGUAAAGGGCUCGUAGGCGGUCUGUCGCGUCGGGAGUGAAAACUCAGGGCUUAACCCUGAGCCUGCUUCCGAUACGGGCAGACUAGAGGUAUGCAGGGGAGAACGGAAUUCCUGGUGUAGCGGUGGAAUGCGCAGAUAUCAGGAGGAACACCGGUGGCGAAGGCGGUUCUCUGGGCAUUACCUGACGCUGAGGAGCGAAAGUAUGGGGAGCGAACAGG
Molecule: ribosomal RNA, 253 nt
Filed under: uncultured bacterium
Lineage: Bacteria
Description: partial 16S ribosomal RNA
Rfam family: Bacterial small subunit ribosomal RNA
Source: RNAcentral